Non-coding RNA from Peromyscus maniculatus bairdii (prairie deer mouse), 1577 nucleotides. The record is from RefSeq and is a predicted model, not a curated record. NCBI's taxonomy places the organism in Eukaryota, Metazoa, Chordata, Mammalia, Rodentia, Cricetidae.
AAUGAGUUAGCAGAAUAGAAAGAUAUAUGUCUGUUUAGACUGGAAAUCGCUCACUUUGGAAGCUGUGGCGUGGCGAGGAUGUAGAGAUGGAGAAAUUCACAGCAAGAGUGGAGUCUGCACUGCUUGUGAGCCUGUGGGGAGGGAAGCAAAGACCUUUAAAUGAAAGUAAGAGGCUAGAAGCAUCCAAAGUAACCACUGUCUGCAGAAAUGGGAGAGAAAGCCUGGAGACCUCACUUCUCUAAGAGCUGUAGAUGAAGAAUGGCAUACAUCCGCUCACAGCUCAGAGACCAGAAGCAGCCACACGGCCUCAGCAGUGAAGAAAGCUAGGAAGUGCUUAGACUCCUGCGAGUGUUAGGGACCAUGAAAUGUUUCAGGUCUUUCUCUUGGCGAUUUUUUUUUUUUAAGGUGGUGAGCCAAAAUAUAAAAUUAUGAGUUUAAAACUCUUGGCUGAGGGGAAGGUGGGUGUUAAGACUUUCUGGAAGAAGUGUUAGCUCCUCCAUUUUCUAGCUACGUAUAUCUAGUGAGUCUUCCUGGUUUUAUUGUCCCUGGCCUCCUUCCUACAGAACGGCGGUAAUGAUUCUUUCUAUCUUUGGAACUUGUUCAAAAGCUAGGUAUGGUACUGGUUUUGUUGUAAAUUCUUAUGGAGCGUAAUAGCAGAAACUGUGUUAUUCUCUUUUGAUCACUUUAUAAAGUGGGAAUGAGGUAAACACGGGAAUUAUUCUGAAUUUAACAUCUUGGUCCUGAGUGUCUUGGUGCUUAGUAAAAUUCUUUGUAUGGAAGAAAGGGUACUGGGGUUUGGGCAGCAGAAAAGAACGGGAAGUCAUCACUGCAGCUGCCGCUGCCAAUCGUGUUUCUAAGAAGGGCGGGGGCCAGCUUCUUUCUAUAAAGACGUGACCUUGUUGACACCGCACAGCUUUAUUCACCACUUACCAAGGGAAAAUAUCUUCACGUAGUGGCCAAAUCUGCCCACAAAUGUGGGGAGUAUAGUCAGCACUUAAUCCUUAAUAUCAGCCUCAGUGGGCGCAGAAAAAAAGAAAAAGAAAAAGAAAAAAAUACAGGACUUAAAAAAAAUGUCUUUUCCUUUUCAGUUAAAUAAAAAGUCUGGGAAAGCUAGAGAGAUCACCCAGAUGUGAAGAGCACUAGCUGCUCUUGGUUGUGGGUUUAGUUCCUAACUCCUGCAAACUGGCCUACACCCAUCUGUGGCUCCAGCCUCAAGGAGCCCAAACACUCCCUUUUGGCUUCCUUAGGUACCAGACACACAAAGAAUGCACAGGCAUACAUGUAGGCAAACACUCAAACACAUCAAAUAAAAAUGAACAGAUUUUUUUUAAAACAUUGAGAGAAGACUCACAUAAGACGAACUAACCAUUUUAAAGUACAUAAUUCAGCUGCUUUAAAUAUAGUCAAAUUUUAUGUAAAUAUCAUCUUAAUCUUCUCUCAAAACAUUUCAAAGUCUAAAACGAAGCCCUGUGUCCAUCACAUAGUCCUUCUUCAUUCUGCCUCCCAAAUCUCCCAAAAGCAAAACUUUUAUAAGUGAACCUAUGAACUUAUCUAUUCUGUAUAUUUAAUAAACAGUA